CUGAAACAAACUUCCGGACGUUCAGCCCAAACAUUACAAUUCAAAAGAAGGGAAAAUAAAAUCGUUAAAGGUAACGAAAGUAGAUUGAAAGCAACGCGGAAUGCCCUAUUUAACUUGCUCACACUCAUUUCUCAUGGAGAGUAACCACACGAGACCAGAACCUAUGAAGGGACCCAUUGGAGACCCCAACCAUCCCGAGAGUCGCGGGGUAAAGCGAGGACACUCCGAAAUUGCCAAUUGCGAUUGUGAGGAUGUUCCUCUUUCUAAACGGAUCAACCGACUCAACAUUGACCAAUCAGGUUCUCAUCCACAUGGUUCUCAUCCGGCAGCACGCCCUGGAACGUCCAAUUGUCAAAAUGGGAUGAACCCUUGCGGGUCUUCAGGCUCUUCUCAUCCUGGUUCUCUUCAUCCCAACAAUAAUGGGUCAGCACAGUUCGAAGACUCGAAUUCAUCGUUUUCAGACCAACAAAAGUCAUUUGAAGAGUCGUAUCCGUACAGUGCCAACUCUGAGUAUUUCUCUUCCAACCAUUUGCUCUACCAUCUGCACAAUGAACGAGUGCACAGACAAAUUCAAAGAACGCAUGACCCUAGAUCGUCUAAUAUCAACGUUCAGCAUCAUUUUCAAUCGUGAUUAUUUUGUGUGUUGAAUCAUCGAAUGUGAUAAAUGACAUCAAAUAACAA
Long non-coding RNA from Tigriopus californicus, 681 nucleotides. RefSeq lists it as uncharacterized. NCBI's taxonomy places the organism in Eukaryota, Metazoa, Arthropoda, Copepoda, Harpacticoida, Harpacticidae. The transcript is spliced from 2 exons. The record is from RefSeq and is a predicted model, not a curated record.